RNAcentral lists this ribosomal RNA (305 nucleotides) under uncultured bacterium. RNAcentral describes it as "partial 16S ribosomal RNA". It matches the Rfam family "Bacterial small subunit ribosomal RNA", at positions 505 to 807 of the family's 1533-position model. The record is from RNAcentral.
ACAGCAGCAGCCGCGGGAAUACGGAGGGAGCUAGCGUUAUUCGGAAUUACUGGGCGUAAAGCGCACGUAGGCGGCUUUGUAAGUAAGAGGUGAAAGCCCGGAGCUCAACUCCGGAACUGCCUUUUAGACUGCAUCGCUUGAAUCCAGGAGAGGUGAGUGGAAUUCCGAGUGUAGAGGUGAAAUUCGUAGAUAUUCGGAGGAACACCAGUGGCGAAGGCGACUCUCUGGUCUGUAACUGACGCUGAAGAGCGAAAGCGUGGGGAGCGAACAGGAUUAGAUACCCGUGUAGUCCCUGUCUCUUAUAC